GGAGACCGGGGAUGGUUGACUAUAGGGGUAGGUAGACUAAUCGUCGAAAACACUCCGGCAUCACGUGUUUCGUGACCUUCAAUCAGGCGCAAGGAACGAGCCCUGUGCCCCGCUCAUUCGUACGAAGUGCCGUGUAGCCGACGCGCGUCGUUUUUGUUUGGUGCGGAGAUAACGAAUUUUGACCUACAAAAUGAGAACAUAUAAGAGAAAAUCAACGAGAUCCGAUGUACCCCAAAAUAUAGUGGAAAGAGCUUGCCAUAAUGUGUGUCCAAAGUAAAACAAAACCAAGAAAGCUCUGCCUGCUACCAUUGAAAAUAUACAGUUUGGUUUUAUAAUAUCCGGUAUAUCACCACUCAAUGAAAACAUAUUUCCCGAAUCGGAGUUUAGUGGAGCUUAUGUGAUGGAUAGGCCAGUGCCAGUAUCACAAGAUGUUGCUGGUUCUUCGACGGCUAGGAUGAACAUAAAUCCGAACGUAAAUGCUAUACCAUCAGUGCCAGAAUAGAAUAUCGACAGUGCAGGGUCUUCCAGAGCUGAACAUUUGAUCACCCUUCCAAAUUCUGCUGUAUAUAUAUUCAAUAAUAUGGUUAUCAUUGUCAACACUUCUGAUCAUCAUAAUGAAAUUACUGCAGAAGAACCAAUUGUUUCAAGCGAAUCGACUACUGCUUUGCCAUUACGCUCAAGAUCUGCUAGUACUAAUUGCGAAUCACCUUCAAUUCUUGAACAGCAUGAGUCAGGAGAAGAGCUCAGUAUACAAACAGCCGAAAGUGAAUAUCAAUUGGAAAAACACCAAAGAGUGACUCCACCGCCUUCAACUUCUGAUACCCCUUUUACUUCUUUUAUUCAUCCAACAGACAUAAUGCCCUUUCCGAAAGCUCUAACUUGUUUAGAAAAUCGAAGAAAUAUACGCAAACGUAAAAGAAAAACUUAUGGAAUUAAAACAGAAACAAUCGUGUACAGAAUAUUUGAAGAAGAAAAAAACUGAAAAACUUACAUCUAAAAGUCAGGAAAAGGGGAAAGGAAAAUGUAAAGGGAAGGUUAAGGUUAAGGGAAAAGGUAAGAACGGCAUCAGAGGAGCUAAAAAUAAAGAUAAUGAUGCAGCAGCUUAUUCAGAUGAAAGUGAUGAUGAUGACACGAUUUGUAUAGAAUGCACUGAUUCUGUUAGUCUGCCUGGUGAAGAAUGGAUUCAGUCAAAACACUGAAUCUAUUCUUUUCCCAUUCAAUAUGUGCAAAAGGCAAUUUAAUGUUUUAUGAGUGCAAAAAUAGAUGAUAAGUUAAUUUAUGUUCUUAAUUGUUGUAAAAAAUAAGAAGUAUUCGUCUUUAUUAAAGAGGGAUAAUAUGAUUAUUAA
Molecule: long non-coding RNA, 1346 nt
Organism: Plodia interpunctella (Indianmeal moth)
Lineage: Eukaryota; Metazoa; Arthropoda; Insecta; Lepidoptera; Pyralidae
Exons: 2
Source: RefSeq, a predicted model, not a curated record